UAGAGACCAAGGUAUAGGCUGGGCUUAGUUCUCAUGUGAAGCCUCUGGGGAAAAAGUUCACUUCCACGUUCUUUUUUUUAUUUUUGCAGUCGCACGCAGGAAAGGAGGAAAUUUUCGAUAGAAAAAGCUUGGAGAUCCUGUUGCUGUCACCCAUCGCGCUGUUGGAGGCUGGGAUUAGUCCGGAACUCUGCAGGGAAGACAGCACCAAGCUGUGAAGUCACUCAAGCAGCCUGUGGAAAGGCCACAUGGAGAGAAACUGAGCUCCCACCUGCAGCCAGCAUGGACUUGAGUCAUAUGACUGAGACACCUGGGAAGUGGAUCCUCCAGCCCCAGUCAAGCCUUCAGAUGACAGCAGCCCAGAACCACCCAGCCAGGCCUGCUCCAUAUUCCUGACCCAAAGAAAUUGUGAGGCAUUGGGAGACAUUGAGAGAAAUUGUGAGACAAUGAUCAUUGUGUUGUAAGUCACUAAGUUUGGGGGUCAUUUGCUGUGCAGCCUCAGAUAAUGAGGACUUCUUCGUGCCCUUUCUUGGCUUCUUCUGUUGCUCCAACUGCCAUCUGAUGAAAGUGUGAUGAAAACCAAAGGCCCUCCUCCAGAAAGUUCAGGUACAUACAGAAAGAAAUGGGGGUGCAAUUUCAAAGGGAUCACAGGUCAUCUAAAAGCAGACUUCAGACCUCCAGAUCCCAGAGUCCCCAGCGGGCCCCCAAUAGACAUGGAACCUGAGUGAGGAAUAAGUGUCUCAGCUGCCGUGCUGUGGGACAUGGCCAUGCUGGCUGCAGGGUCUUCAGCUUGGUCAUGGCGGAGUGCCCAUGGCCUACAUUCCUUUCUCCUCCUCUUCUCUGUGUCCUUGGCAGGCUGCCCCUGCAGAGGAGGCCCGUGGGUGCCCAGACUAAGUAGGUAAGUUUAGCUCUAAGGGAGCAGGUUGAGAGAGCCCAUCUGGUUGUGUACAGGCAACUUCUCAGCCAAGCUCUGCCAAUUGCUGGUGUUCAUACUUGGCUGAUGCCUCCACUUCAAUACAGAGCCUGCAGGGGAGGCAGGAUGUGAACGCAGCCCCUGGAACCUGACUGUGGGC
This 1070-nucleotide long non-coding RNA is filed under the name Callithrix jacchus (white-tufted-ear marmoset). Its description in RNAcentral is "lncRNA (ENSCJAG00000085428.1)". The record is from RNAcentral. Lineage: Eukaryota; Metazoa; Chordata; Mammalia; Primates; Cebidae.